RNA transcript from Columba livia (rock pigeon), 3614 nucleotides. RefSeq lists it as uncharacterized. The transcript is spliced from 8 exons. The record is from RefSeq and is a predicted model, not a curated record. NCBI's taxonomy places the organism in Eukaryota, Metazoa, Chordata, Aves, Columbiformes, Columbidae.
CUCCUCCUCCUGCUCACACGGCCCGGCCGCAGGGGCUGCCGGGAGUUGUGGUCCCUGUGACGGCGGCGGGCAGCGGCCGUUGAGCAUGGCGGCGGCGGUGGUAAUGGAGGGGGGCGGGGCGCGCGGCUGUCCCGCGUUGCCGCUCGCGAGCGGCCGGAGCAUCCCAGUGCUGGGGCUCGGUACUUCCCAUCAAGGUGGCUAUUCCCAUGAUGCUGUGGUCCAUGCAUUACAAAAAUGUGGCAUUCGUCAUAUUGACACAGCAAAAAGAUAUGGCUGUGAAUCCCUCCUCCAAAAGGCCAUUAAAGAGAGUGAUGUGAAGCGAGAAGACCUCUGGAUAACUACCAAACUAUGGCAUAGUGAUUAUGGCUAUGAAAACACCAAAAAAGCCUGCUUGGAGUCAUGUAAACGACUUGGCGUCGAAUAUCUUGAUCUUUAUUUAAUACACUGGCCUGAUGCACAUGUUCCUGGUAAAAGCAAUCGAGAGGUCCGUGCUGAAACCUGGGGAGCGAUGGAGGAGCUCUAUGAGAAAGGUUUGUGUAGAUCAAUUGGUGUAAGCAACUUUCUUAUCAGUCAUCUUGAGCAACUAAAGGAAGACUGUGUGAUUACUCCACAUGUCAAUCAGGUUGAAUACCACCCUUUCCAAAGACCUCAGGAGCUGGUUGAUUAUUGCAGAAGCAGAGAUAUUGUUUUUGAAGGCUACUGUCCUUUAGCCAAAGGGGAAGCACUCACCCAUCCCAGUAUCAUUCAGCUGGCAAAGAAAUAUGGCAGAACUCCAGCACAGAUUUGCAUACGCUGGAGUAUACAGAAUGGCAUUGUCACUAUUCCAAAGUCCACAAAAGCAGAAAGGAUACAGGAAAACUGCAAGGUUUUCGAUUUUAAUCUGAAGGAAGAAGACAUGGAAUUUUUGAACACUAUGAAUAUCAACCAAAAAUUAAUUCACCUAACCUAUCCAUUGUGGAAAGGAUAAUUUGAAAUGAGAUUGUUCUACACUGCAAAAGUGAUGCAGCUGAAACAUUAAUUAAUUUUAAAUGGAACAAUAAAGCUAAAUUGGAUACAGGAAUGUUUACUUUCAGCAUUUUCUCUGCUUUUUUGGAACUUUCCGGCAUAUUCUCCCAGUAUGGGUUGAGCUGUCUCACAGUAUUGUAAUUAAGUUUCUGCUGCUUGCAGGUACUUCAUUUAAGGUGUCAUUUUAACACAUUUGAACAAUUUAUUUUCUUACGUUUUGAAAAGUAUUAGUUACCUAUAGGCACAGAUAAGAGCAUGCUACAAUGCAUGUAAAUCUUGAAAAAUUAUUAAAAAUAUGAAAUGUUGGAAUAUUUGUUCUAGGAUUGCAGAACCUGAUUUUUUUUUAUACUGCUUUUUAAAUUUAUCCUAGUCAUGAGAAUUUUGAGGGCUUCUGCAGGCCGCUGUUUGUGCUUUCUUGGUGAGCAAAUGUGUUCCAUUAACACCAUUUCAAGGAUCCUGUCUUGACCCACCACAUGAGGGAGGAACGUCUCUGGCUCGUGGCCUAAGUUGCAUCAAGAUGAAUAAAAGUACUUUUUGCUUAUAUAGAGAAAAAAUUUUGAAGGUGCAUAACAGUAAUGUGUUGGAGAAAAAUCCCUUGCUAAUCUGUCUUGCAGGGAUUUUCUGUAUCUUUUCAAGGUGGAUAAUGUUCAGACACUCCUCUGAUUUAAUCGUGUGUUGUCCAGCGGUGCUCACAUUAAGACAGUGUGGUCUUCUGGUGGGAUCAGUGCCACCAGUCUGUCAGUGUGCAGGCUUUGGGAACACCCCAGCUUGCAGCCUCUUUUCUGACAAGAUCAAAGCUUUCUCCAGCUGGAAAACUGCCCUGCGACUCGCCAGGUUUCUGAAAGGUUCACGAGAACUUUGGUUAUCAUGGGCAGCCUUUUUUUUUUUUGGUGCCAGACCCUAAAUCAUGAGUUUCUGCUCAUCCUAAAAACUCAGGUGUCUGCGAGCACAUACAUAUUCAGGAUCUCUGUGAACUGAAGCGUCUGCCUCUUCACGCUUGUGGACAUGUUGCACAAACGUUUUUUUUAACUGGUUUACCCAGGUCAAGCAGCUCCUAUGUAUAAGUUUGGUGUCAUGAGGCGUGCAGCCCUCCCACUGACUGAGGCCUGCGUUCCGGUUAUUUCUGAAAUGGUGUGUGACUAAGUGUGUUGUCCUUUCUCCUUAUUCUGACUGUAGGUAACUCCAGAGUCGCUUUCUCAAAGGAGCUACAUCUGCCCUGGAUUUCUGCAGGGCUUUUCAUUGAAGUACAAGCUUCCUUAACACUGGACUUGGCAGUUGGGGAGAUACUAGAAAAGAGUUCUUGUUCUGUUGCUGGGGAUGGAGUAUAACCCUGGUGUAAAUCACCGCAUUAAACACCAACGUACUUUUGGUAGAGUUGGCUGGACCGACCUGAACUUACUUCUGUUUGUGUUUCAGCCCUCAUAAGCAAGCUACAACUUGUGCUGCUGAGCCACGUUUACCUAUGUCUCUGAGGUUUCAGACAGCCACCAGUGCAAACGCAGCUGAUCUGGCUUCAUUUGCCUGAGAAAAAUGAAGCUGUAUUGCAGUUUCCUCUCUGUUGAGGUGUCAAGAGGGCUAUGAUGUGUGUGGUCAUCUAAUUUUAAUGAUGCUUUUUGUGAUACAAAUAGCCAAGUGCUUGGAGUGGAACUGAUGUUGCCCAAGUAUUUUACAUAGCCUUUGAAAAUAAUUUGUUGGAUGUCACAUCUCUGAGUUGUAGCCUCUCGGUUGACCAAUAACCCAAACGUGAAAGCCUGUACAUCUGACUGCUGAAACCAUGAGUCAUUCUGUCCUUUAAUUAAAGCAUGUUCCUUUAAUACGUUCCCCUUGCUUAAAAUGAUGUGAGAAUUAUUUCCUAGAAGAAAAUGCCUAAUGAAUGCACUUCUCUUUAGUAUUUUCUAUAAAUUAGCUAAACAAGGGGGAAAGCUUGAAAUAUCUAGGGUAUGUCAGGCAGUUGCAGGGGAUGCAUAUGUCAACCUCAAGCGUGAUUUAUCUUGCAUGCCUUUUCUGACAGUUGUAAUUUAACGGCUGUAUUUUCCUCCAGGCUCUCAGGAGGCUAAACAUCUUUUCAAGUUUCUAGCUUUGUGGUGGAAGAGUAAAUGUCUGUUUGCCAGUGUAAUUUAUCUGAGUCAUUCUGGGAGAGGCGUGGAGCAAUCGAAGCAUGACUAUUAGCAUAAAUAAGAGAGGGACUCUUCCUGAGGGUAGAGUUACUCUUGCUGUCUUUCAGAGGAAAGCUGCUUCCUCGUAACGACUGCUACUGCUAAUUGACUAGUACGAUGCUGUGAACUGAAAAACCUAAAUCCAUUGAGCUCUGGGUAGUCUUUUGUGUUUCAAUUUGAAGUGGAGUUAAAGAGAACACAGCAAGGAAGGAAAACUUCUGCAGCAAGCACAGCAGUAGAUCACCAGCACUUAGCAUUUCACAUACACUGAGGUGUUUUUUUUCUUUUAGAAGUUUGAAGAGAGAAGGAAUUAUAUAAACGUAAACUCACUUCUUUCUCGGUCUCCAUGUAAUAGCACUGUUACCAUUGUAGUUGUCAUUGCCGAUUUUGUUUUUUAAAAAAAGUAAUUUAAAACUUAUUAAUAUUUUCAAAUAUGCCGGUGUUUUACAGAAU